UUCUCCACCUCCUUCCUGCCUUCAGCUAGCUAGCUAGAGCUGAUGUUUCAGGCGAUGUUACGUUAAAGCUACAAAAUUGGCUAAACAAAGUUUUUUUAAUGCGUCUUUUAAAGAGUUGAGGACGAAGAAACGCCAUUGCCUCCAUUGGCCGAGGCUAGCCAGCCCAGUUCUUCAGCCUCAUUAGCCCUCAAUGAGGUUAGCUCGGCAGCUAGCUCGUUAGCGGUAGCGCCCUUCCCCCGAUCAACGUGAAGCGGGCUAACCUGCUUAUGUUUUUGAUUUAGUUGCAACUGAUGAACCACCUUCAAAGCCAUAUUUGAAGGUAUUUUCCCUGCACAGUCAAUGGUGAUGGACAGAGUGGAAAAUCUAGGUGCUAUGGACAGUUUUCUUGGUUGGAAUACAGCGUGAAAGCGGACGCCAGGCGGCGUUCACACUUCUGAUCCUCACAUCAGAACUUGGUCUGGACGGGGUGGUGGUCUGGGUGCUGUAGCCGCUGGAACAGUGCAGAGAGUCCCUGCUGCUCCUCGGGGCGUCUGAAUUCAACGCACCUAAAGUUAACGCCAGCUGAUCCCGGGCCGAGCACGACUGGGAGAAAGAGAGGAUGAGAAAUAGAGAGGAGGGUGAGAGGAAACAAGACGAGGAGAUGAAACAAGGAAAGAAGGAGAUGGAGGGAACAAGGAGAGGAAAAUAAAAGAGACAAGGGGAGAGAGAUCAGAUGAGAGGCUGUGUCCUCCUCUCCCUCUGGUCUCUGGCUGCCCCCCAGUGGAUGAUGUGGAUUUCUAAUCAGAAGUAUGAACUCAGUUCUCAGACGCAGACAUGGCUCGAGCUCUCUCUCCAUGGUGUGAGUAGGCGUUGUGUGGGGGGGCCAACAUGCCGUUCUCUGCCGAUCCGAUCCCUCCAGCAGCAAGCUGAUUGGUCGAGCCAACUGCAUCCUGUCAUAAAUAA
This is a long non-coding RNA of Siniperca chuatsi (mandarin fish), 942 nucleotides long. RefSeq lists it as uncharacterized. Lineage: Eukaryota; Metazoa; Chordata; Actinopteri; Centrarchiformes; Sinipercidae. The record is from RefSeq and is a predicted model, not a curated record. The transcript is spliced from 5 exons.